RNAcentral lists this ribosomal RNA (468 nucleotides) under uncultured bacterium. Its description in RNAcentral is "partial 16S ribosomal RNA". It matches the Rfam family "Bacterial small subunit ribosomal RNA", at positions 28 to 507 of the family's 1533-position model. The record is from RNAcentral.
GACGAACGCUGGCGGCGUGCUUAACACAUGCCAGUCGAACGGAAAGGCCCUGCUUUUGUGGGGUGCUCGAGUGGCGAACGGGUGAGUAACACGUGAGUAACCUGCCCUUGACUUUGGGAUAACUUCAGGAAACUGGGGCUAAUACCUGAUAGGAGCUCCUGCUGCAUGGUGGGGGUUGGAAAGUUUCGGCGGUUGGGGAUGGACUCGCGGCUUAUCAGCUUGUUGGUGGGGUAGUGGCUUACCAAGGCUUUGACGGGUAGCCGGCCUGAGAGGGUGACCGGCCACAUUGGGACUGAGAUACGGCCCAGACUCCUACGGGAGGCAGCAGUGGGGAAUAUUGCACAAUGGGCGGAAGCCUGAUGCAGCAACGCCGCGUGCGGGAUGACGGCCUUCGGGUUGUAAACCGCUUUCGCCUGUGACGAAGCGUGAGUGACGGUAAUGGGUAAAGAAGCACCGGCUAACUACGUG